This 492-nucleotide ribosomal RNA is filed under the name uncultured bacterium. RNAcentral's name for it is "partial 16S ribosomal RNA". It matches the Rfam family "Bacterial small subunit ribosomal RNA", at positions 29 to 507 of the family's 1533-position model. The record is from RNAcentral.
AGUGAACGCUGGCGGUAGGCCUAACACAUGCAAGUCGAACGGCAGCACAGUAAGAGCUUGCUCUUACGGGUGGCGAGUGGCGGACGGGUGAGGAAUACAUCGGAAUCUACUUUUUCGUGGGGGAUAACGUAGGGAAACUUACGCUAAUACCGCAUACGACCUACGGGUGAAAGCAGGGGAUCUUCGGACCUUGCGCGAUUGAAUGAGCCGAUGUCGGAUUAGCUAGUUGGCGGGGUAAAGGCCCACCAAGGCGACGAUCCGUAGCUGGUCUGAGAGGAUGAUCAGCCACACUGGAACUGAGACACGGUCCAGACUCCUACGGGAGGCAGCAGUGGGGAAUAUUGGACAAUGGGCGCAAGCCUGAUCCAGCCAUACCGCGUGGGUGAAGGAGGCCUUCGGGUUGUAAAGCCCUUUUGUUGGGAAAGAAAAGCAGCAGGUUAAUACCCCGCUGUUCUGACGGUACCCAAAGGAUAAGCACCGGCUAACUUCGUG